Olea europaea var. sylvestris is the source of this 715-nucleotide long non-coding RNA. RefSeq lists it as uncharacterized. The transcript is spliced from 3 exons. The record is from RefSeq and is a predicted model, not a curated record. NCBI's taxonomy places the organism in Eukaryota, Viridiplantae, Streptophyta, Magnoliopsida, Lamiales, Oleaceae.
GUUAGUAUUUUAUUUGGGCUUGUAUUAUGUUUUGGGCUUGCCCAAGCCUUUUUUUUUUUUUUUGGGCUUGUAUCAUGUAUUGGGCUGGCCCAAGCCCUUUUAUGCUUUGUAUUGUAUAAAAGUAUGCAGCUUUCUAUGCAUGGGGGACAGAUUUGAUGGGAAUGAAUUGAACGUUGAGUGUUGCAGAAAUCUCCCUUUUCCACCGCCCCUUGUCCUAUUCUUUUUUCUCCUCCUUCUCUCCUUCUUCUCUAGCUGUUUCUUUACUGCAUGUGUUAUGCUUCUUCUGCAGUUUUCUUCAACUUUUAUAGAUUUUGAACUUCUCAACCUUUGCUACAUCAGCUUCUUUUCAGGAUCGGUGCAUUUGAAAAGUAUGUCCCCUUUCAUUUCUCUUUAAACUCACUUGGCAGGCAGAUGAAGCAUGAUUUCUUUUUUACCUUGAAGUUUCGUCAACCAAUGCUUGAAGUAUUGCUUCUAAACCCAGAGUACAAGAUGGAAUUCUAUGUAUGAAGAAAUUAAGGUGGCCUAAACGCUCUAUCGAAACCACCUAAGUCCAUCAAGAGUGAUGUCUCCAUUUGCUUUCCUGAGGUUAAUAAUCAGCUUAAGUAGAAUUAAACUUCUUCAUCUUAUGUAACUUAUAUUAAUCACUUUUAUAUUGUAGUUUUCCAAUUUUGGUUCAUUGGAGCAACAUGGAUUUGCAUGGAAAAAUCCAAGAGUA